Orcinus orca (killer whale) is the source of this 5358-nucleotide long non-coding RNA. RefSeq lists it as uncharacterized. The record is from RefSeq and is a predicted model, not a curated record. The transcript has 5 exons. Lineage: Eukaryota; Metazoa; Chordata; Mammalia; Artiodactyla; Delphinidae.
CCGCGCUGCCGGCGGAUUGGGAAGUUUGACAAACCGCUCCAGAGGCCGGAGGAGGAGGGGGCGGGGAGGAGCGGCGGCCCUGCCCCCCCCCCGCCCCGUCCCCAGACGAGGCCUCACCUGUCGGCCAGGAAAAAUGAGACUUGAAAAUGGGCCAGAGUCGUCCUCCAAUGGGGAAAUUUGUCAUGGAGACACACCCAUCUCAAAUGUCCAGAAAUGCCACCUCUCUGGAGGAUGGUCCUAUCUGGGGCACGUCAGGAGUCUAGAAGGUAGACAGCGAAGGUGAGAAAGUAGAGAGCUGGCUCUCCAGCCCAGGAUGCAUGAAGGCGUGAGGGAAGGUGGCUAGGAGAAGCACCUAUCAGCAGCACAGAAGGGCCAAGUGAGCAGCUGCACGUGUGCACACAACAGUAGCGAGUGGAAUUUGCACCAUCCAGGUCAGAUGGAAAAUAGAAGCCUGGAAAAUCUGACAGUCUCAUUGAUUUGCUCGCCUUGCCAUCGCUACUUGAGAGGAGAAGCAAUGUGAUUUCAAAAUUGCAAUUAGGAGCCAGCCCGUUAAGGGUUCCUCUCAUGAGCUCCCGUGCUGUGCGGCUCCCAGGCCCACCUUGUCUCAUUUCCUGAGGAGUCCCAGGUUUCUCAACUGGGAGGAGCACUGUGGCUAUUGUUUCUAGUGAAGACACCACAGCUCAACCUCAGAAGGGACCUGUGAUGAUAAGAAAGCAUCCCGCAAAAUGAGAAUCCUUAGGCAGCAGCCUUCACCAGGAUCCCGUGGCAUUGCCCAUGUCACAGACCUUGGGGUCUGCUCUGCCUCAUUUUCUCAUUUAAUCCCCACAAACCCCGACGAGGUGAAGCGCACAAGAAUUUAUUGUCUGCCUUUGAUAGCUGAGGAAACUGAGCCUUAAAGAAACUGCAUCUCUUUGAUAAACAUUGGCAUGCCUAGUAGGUGCCGGGACACAAAAGUGGAGAGGACAAAGGCCUGCUCUUACAGACUUUGCCUUCCAGGGAGAGAGCAAAUAACCAAGUGAAAUGAUAGAAGUAAAGUAUGAUUAGGGGUAGAGUGAAUUGCUGUGAAGAAAGUGAUGCAGGAGAAGAGAACGGAGAGGUGGGGAUGUGGAAAGCCAAUGGAAGGCACCAUCAGGUUGAGAAUUUUGGAAGAUCACAAGGGCAGCUGUGUGGAUAAUGGGGUUAGGUGGGCAAGGGCGAGAUCAGGAGGCCAGUGAGUAGGCAGGGACUGUGGUCCUGGCAGGACACUGCAGUCAGUUGGCCUAGGGUGGUGGCUGUGGUGGUGAGUGAAGAUCUAUUUUGAAGGUAGGGCAUCUAAAAAGGAUGCUUUCUACUCCAGUGGGCUUUCCACAACACAACACAGCCUGCAGCCACAUCCUCACACCGACGUACCUGAAUCCCGAGUCAGCUGCCUCUCGGGGGGGAAUAAAGUUGGGAAAGAUGGGGGCUAAGACAGCAGCAGCAGAAAGCAAGGGUUCUGGAGAGGGGUACCUGUUCCAUAUGUGUGUGUGAGUGUGUGUGUGUGUGCAUGAGUUGUGACACACAUUACCAACUUCGGCCCUAUUUUAUCCAAUUAAUUGGCAAGGUUAACUUCCAGCCCACUUACCUCUGUUCUUUCCUUAAGCUCUUAGUCUGGCCCUUGUUUCUACCACUCUGCCGAAACCACUCUCUUCAAGGCCAUCCUCAUCUUCUAUGUUGCCCAGCCUGUGACCAGGACAAGUGGACCAGACAUACAAGUUUCCUGACACAGUGGCAUCUCAAGGGGUGCCUGAUGCCUACCUGCCUGGCACCACAGCAUGGAUUUCUGCACAGAUGCUACCUCUGCGGGCAGAGGCCAGGCUGACGUUUAUGUGGAUGUCAAGACCAGCCUUCAGUCUGUUUUCUGAUGCAACCACAGCUGCUGCAGGGCCCACCUCGUCUGAGCAGCUCGGCAGUUUGGUGUGGCUGUCUAGGUUUUGUCAGAUGGAACGUGAGCAGAAGCGAUGUGUUCUACCUCCAGGCCUAACCCAUAAAAAGCCCCUGGGAACACUCCUCCAUGCCUUUGCCGCUUCCAUAAGCUGGACACAGAUGACGAGGAGGAGCCAGGGAAAAGUGGAGCCACAAACUAGAAGGAGCACGAGUCCCAGAGUGACACUUCAAAGACUGCCAUGUGAGCAGGAAAUAAACAUCAAAUCAACUGUGUUGAAACUUUGCAUGUUGGACCUAUUUGUUACACAGCUUGGCUGACCCUAAUAUAAUUCCUGUUCUCAGGGAGUUUGCAGUCACAUUAAAAAGACUCAGGUGCACAAUUCUGGUACAACAGUAAGUGGCUUAGAAGAGGAAGUGGGUCAUAGAGUUUGGGCUUUCAGUUCUGAAGUCCUGGGCUACAGGUUCCUGGGCCUGUGACCUUCCCAUCUAAGCCCUUUUCUGGAAAAGUGGAGAAGAGUCAGAUUGAGGGAAGGCACUUCUGGCAGGGGAACAUCACAGUCAAGGGCUCACAAGCAGGACUUAGAACAAACAAAAGGAUGAGAUGAAUGUCAAUGAUCCUCAGAAGGGGAAAAUAAGAAAAUGGUCCUUAAAUACCUAAUAACUUUGGCUGUCACAGGUAGGACAAGGAUCAGAGUUCUAGAACUUCUCUCUCUGACCUAACACACCUCUUUAGUUCCCGAGAGUGGGGAGCCCUGAGCCUGGCGUGUGGGGUGUCAGUCUGCCUUUCUCUUCCAGCACCCCUUCUCCAGGCUGGUCCCUCCAACUGUUGUCUGGGUUUUAGGGGAUAAGUUCUUCCAGAAUCAGAUGCUUGAUGAGAAAAGCAGCCUUGCUCUGCUCCCUCCAGAGACCUGUGAAGAAGGGGAUUUCAUCCUGUUUCUGAGCUGAGGAUCCUGAUGGAGGCUUCUAAGUAUCAGCUGAAAUUCAGAUAUGGUCUUUGUGGUCCCAGUUCCCAGCUGGGCACUGGCAAGUGAGGCUGGGCUUGUACUGUCUGUUUCCAACAAGCUUGGGAACAGAGCAGGCUGCUCAUUUCCAGUUUAUAACUGAGGACCCAGAGUCCCAGGGUAGGGCCCUUGUCACACUCCAGCCCACACUGAUGGCAGAACCGCAGAGGUGUUCAAGGCAGUUUCCCCCUUGCUGGGGAAGACAGACACGGAUACUACUGUCUCUUGUUGUGGACUCUGCACUGCCCACACACCCUGACUGCACCCGAAUCGAUGGUGCUGCUCUGGGCACCCCAUGACAAGCAUCAUGGAGCAGGCACUUAAAAGCUUGGGUCCUGGGGCUUCCCUCGUGGCGCAGUGGUUGAGAGUCUGCCUGCCGAUGCAGGGGACACGGGUUCGUGCCCCUGUCCGGGAGGAUCCCACAUGCCACGGAGCGGCUGGGCCCGUGAGUCAUGGCUGCUGAGCCUGCGCGUCCGGAGCCUGUGCUCCGCAACAGGAGAGGCCACAACAGUGAGAGGCCCGCGUACCGCAAAAAAAAAAAAAAAAAAAAAAAAAGCUUGGGUCCUACCCCAGCUCCCUGUUUUGACUAGUGGUGUGACCUUGGCCUUCUUACUCCCCUCUCCUCUCACUCCCGCCCUCAUUCCUUCACAAUGAUUAUCUCACAAAUUUUUGUUAAAUUAGCAUUCAUUGUUUAUUAUAUAAAUAUUGUUCACUGUUGAGUCAGGUAGUAUACUAGGAUAGCUUGAUUGUUUCUAUCCUUUUUUUUUCUGAGGCCAAUUUGCCUGACUUUCUUUGUACAUGUGAUUAAGUUUUCCCACCCUUACAACCUCUCAGCAGGACUUUCCACAAGGUCGAACGUUUCAGAUGUUCCAUUGCUGUUGGAGGCCCCUCUGAGUCCUCUGACAUCGCAGUCUGGUUCCAUACUUGGGUGACUACACAGCUGCCGUCUGGAGUUCUUCCUCACCGCCAACCUGGGAAUUUCCGUCACCUCUUUCAGCCAUUGGAUUCCCUGCUUCCUGGAGCUUCUGUCUUUUCUUUCUUGGUUUAAUCCCUCCUUUCGAUGGUGCACAACCCCCAGUAGCUUUCUGAUAAUGUAGUUAUGAUGUCUGGGUUAAGCUGGUAGGGCAAAGAAGUUUCUGCAUCUUUUCCUGCUAAAUCAUUAUCCCACCCCCCACCAAAAAAAAAAAAAAAAAAAAGGCAAAUAAAUGAGAGAACAAGAAUGCCAAGCAGAAACACAAACCAUUGUUUUUUUACAAAAUGAGCUGACAGCCAUAACCUGAUAGUGCAAAGGAUAGAACAAAAAUGAGAGAGGCUCGGGACCUUGUUCUACUAUGUUUGCAGCGGCGCAGGAGCCAGUCUGCCAAGUGGAACCUCAGGACACACCACACGAGGCUUAGGAGACACCACGCAUGGCACAGGGACACACUCCAUGGGAGGAGUGUGUCCCCAGGCCCCCACUCAUGAGCCUGAGAUUUCCUCCCCAAUUCUUUUUGGAAGAUGGGAGGAUGACACUGUUAAAGGCUAGAGUGAAUAUCAAACCCAAAGCAGGGGGAUUUGGGGAAAGUCUGCUGCUAAGCAUAGGCCCCCAGCUUCCUCUCCAGUCUGGUUCAUGGAGCAGAGGCAGGUCAGGAGGCCACCUUUUCCUUAUGGAACACAAGUUCUAGGAAUUUUAACACGUGUAGAUUCCUGUAACGACUACUCUAGUCAGGAUACAGGAGAGUUCCAUCACCCACCCCCACAAAAUAAACCCACUCCCUCAUGUUUUCCCUUUAUAGACAUAGCCUCCCUCCACCCCAGACCCCUGGUAGCCACUGGUAUGUUCUCCACAAUGUGUCUCUUCAAGAAUGUCAUAGGGCUUCCCUGGUGGCACAGUGGUUGAGAGUCCGCCUGCCGAUGCAGGGGACAUAGGUUCAUGCCCCGGUCCGGGAGGAUCCCACAUGCCGCGGAGCGGCUGGGCCCGUGAGCCAUGGCCGCUGAGCCUGCACGUCCGGAGCCUGUGCUCCACAAUGGGAUAGUCCACAGCAGUGAGAGGCCCGCGUACGGCCAAAAAAAAAAAAAGAAAAGAAAAAGAAUGUCAUAGAAGUGCAGGAAUAAAGACGCAGAUGUAAAGAAUGGACUUGAGGACACGGGGAGGGGGAAGGGUAAGCUGGGGCGAAGUGAGAGAGUGGCACUGACAUAUAUACACUACCAAAUGUAAAAUAGAUAACUAGUGGGAAGCAGCUGCAUAGCACAGGGAGCUCAGCUCGGUGCUUUGUGACCACCUAGAGGGGUGGGAUAGGGAGGUUGGAAGGGAGACGCAAGAGGGAGGAGAUAUGGGGAUAUAUGUAUAUGUAUAACUGAUUCACUUUGUUAUACAGCAGAAACUAACACACCAUUGUAAAGCAAUUAUACUCCAGUAAAGAUGUUAAAAAAAAAAGGAGAACAAAAAAAAAAACAAAUUAGAAAAAAAGAA